AGAGUUUGAUCCUGGCUCAGAAUGAACGCUGGCGGCGUGCUUAACACAUGCAAGUCGAACGGUAACAGAACUAGCUUGCUAGUUGCUGACGAGUGGCGCACGGGUGAGUAAUAUAUAGUUAACGUGCCCCUAAGCCUGGGAUAGCCAUUGGAAACGAUGAUUAAUACUGGAUACUCCUUCUAACUUCAAUGUUAGUUGGGAAAGUUUUUCGCUAAGAGAUCGGCCUAUUUCCCAUCAGGUAGUUGGUAGUGUAAGAGACUACCAAGCCUAUGACGGGUAGCGGGUUUGAGAGGAUGAUCCGCCACACUGGUACUGAGACACGGACCAGACUCCUACGGGAGGCAGCAGUGAGGAAUAUUGCACAAUGGAGGAAACUCUGAUGCAGCAACGCCGCGUGGAGGAUGACGCAUUUCGGUGUGUAAACUCCUUUUAUAUGUCAAGAAAAUGACGGUAGCAUAUGAAUAAGCACCGGCUAACUCCGUGCCAGCAGCCGCGGUAAUACGGAGGGUGCAAGCGUUAUUCGGAAUCACUGGGCGUAAAGGACGCGUAGGCGGGAAGCCAAGUCUGAUGUGAAAUCCUAUGGCUCAACCAUAGAACUGCAUUGGAAACUGGUUACCUAGAGUAUGGGAGGGGGAGAUGGAAUUAGUGGUGUAGGGGUAAAAUCCGUAGAUAUCACUAGGAAUACCGAAAGCGAAGGCGAUCUCCUGGAACAAUACUGACGCUAAGGCGUGAAAGCGUGGGGAGCAAACGGGAUUAGAUACCCCGGUAGUCCACGCCCUAAACGAUGAACACUAGUCGUCGGAAUGCUAGUCAUUUCGGUGAUGCACUUAACAGAUUAAGUGUUCCGCCUGGGGAGUACGGUCGCAAGAUUAAAACUCAAAGGAAUAGACGGGGGCCCGUCUCAAGCGGAUAUAUUGAAUACUGAG
RNAcentral lists this ribosomal RNA (926 nucleotides) under uncultured Campylobacterota bacterium. RNAcentral describes it as "bacterial SSU rRNA". It matches the Rfam family "Bacterial small subunit ribosomal RNA", at positions 8 to 953 of the family's 1533-position model. Lineage: Bacteria; Pseudomonadati; Campylobacterota. The record is from RNAcentral.